RNAcentral lists this ribosomal RNA (465 nucleotides) under uncultured bacterium. RNAcentral's name for it is "partial 16S ribosomal RNA". It matches the Rfam family "Bacterial small subunit ribosomal RNA", at positions 28 to 507 of the family's 1533-position model. The record is from RNAcentral.
GACGAACGCUGGCGGCGUGCUUAACACAUGCAAGUCGAACGGAAAGGCCCUGCUUGCAGGGUACUCGAGUGGCGAACGGGCGAGUAACACGUGGGUGAUCUGCCCUGCACUUCGGGAUAAGCCUGGGAAACUGGGUCUAAUACCGGAUAGGAGCCAUUUUUAGUGUGAUGGUUGGAAAGUUUUUUCGGUUUUGGCUGAGCUGGCGGCCUAUCAGCUUGUUGGUGGGGUAAUGGCCUACCAAGGCGGCGACGGGAAGCCGGCCUGAGGGGGUGGACGGCGACAUUGGGACUGAGGGACGGCCCAGACUCCGACGGGAGGCAGCAGGGGGGAAUAUUGCACGAUGGGCGCAGGCCUGGUGCUGCGACGCCGCGUGGGGGAUGACGGCCUUCGGGUUGUAAACUCUAUUCGCUAGGGACGAAGCUUUUUGUGACGGUACCUAGACAAGAAGCACCGGCUAACUACGUG